Molecule: ribosomal RNA, 555 nt
Filed under: Hantzschia amphioxys
Lineage: Eukaryota; Bacillariophyta; Bacillariophyceae; Bacillariales; Bacillariaceae
Description: eukaryotic LSU rRNA
Rfam family: Eukaryotic large subunit ribosomal RNA
Source: RNAcentral
ACCCGCUGAAUUUAAGCAUAUAACUAGGCGGAGGAAAAGAAACUAACCAGGAUUCCCUCAGUAACGGCGAGUGAAGCGGGAAAAGCUCAGACUGAAAAGCUUCGGCGUUGUAGUCUGGAGAAGUCAAAUCAGCUUAUAAUUUCGAGUAAAGUCUCCUGGAACGGAGCGCCGUGGAGGGUGAUAGCCCCGUUCAUGCUUGAAAUGAAAAGUGUACGAUUGGCUUUCUAAGAGUCGAGUUGUUUGGGAUUGCAGCUCUAAGUGGGUGGUAAAUUCCAUCUAAAGCUAAAUAUAAAUGGGAGACCGAUAGCGAACAAGUACCGUGAGGGAAAGAUGCAAAGAACUUUGAAAAGAGAGUUAAAUAGUACCUGAAAUUGCUGAAAUGGAACCGAUGGGAGGCAGUGUCGGCUGAGUAGUACUUGUACUGCUUAGCAAGUCAGGCUUCUUUAAUUAUGUGGGAAAGGCUUCUAGACCUGUAUGGGAUAGUUUCGCUGUCAUGUGAUUGAAGGACUCUGACGAAAUGCCUCUUAUCAACCCGUCUUGAAACACGGACCAAGG